CCCUUAGAUGUCCUGGGCCGCACGCGUGCUACACUGACGCCUACAGCGAGUACUUCCCAGCCCCGAGAGGUGACUGGUAAUCAGCAAUAGGCGUCGCGAUGGGGAUAGAUCUUUGGAAUUAUGGAUCUUGAACGAGGAAUGCCUAGUAAGCGCAGGUCAUUAGCCUGCGCUGAUUAAGUCCCUGCCCUUUGUACACACCGCCCGUCGCUCCUACCGAUUUCGAGUGGUCCGGUGAAUCUUUCGGACUGCGCGCGGCCUCGUGCCGUGUCGCGGAAAGUCAGGUAAACCUUAUCACUUAGAGGAAGGAGAAGUCGUAACA
RNAcentral lists this ribosomal RNA (319 nucleotides) under uncultured eukaryote. RNAcentral describes it as "partial 18S ribosomal RNA". It matches the Rfam family "Eukaryotic small subunit ribosomal RNA", at positions 1470 to 1796 of the family's 1831-position model. The record is from RNAcentral.